Molecule: transfer RNA, 21 nt
Filed under: Gerbera ambigua
Lineage: Eukaryota; Viridiplantae; Streptophyta; Magnoliopsida; Asterales; Asteraceae
Description: partial tRNA-Phe
Source: RNAcentral
AAUGAGACAUCAGGAAUAGUC